CUCGACGACGCGGCCGACCUGACGCGCGAGCUGCUGCACGCCGGGGCGCCCGUCUGGGGUGGAGGUGGUCCAACAGAAGAGGAUUCAGAGGAUUCGACAUUUGCAGCCUUUCUGCGUGCUGUGAUGCGCCGCCGCCGUCUUGACAGUCGAGCACAGUAUACACUGCACUUGCUCAGUGAGGCCAUGGGGGAGCAGCCAGCGCGCAUGCACCGCACUGUCAUGCGCACGAUGUUUCGGCAUGCCAGAUGUGUCAAGGUGCUAGGCCCAGUCUUCCUCCAGCUGAAGUCGCAAAUGAAGCGUUACUGGACACAGCCCCUGGAAUUGCGUUUCCUUUGCCGCAAAGCCAUCAGAGGUGCAGUCGGACCUCAGCGUCUUGCACAAGGUGGUGCAGCUCAGCUGGGGCUGCCACCACCCCUUCAGAAAUAUGUUUGUUUUGAGUUGCAAUAGACCACGUGAUCAGUGGAGCAGGAAAUAAUUCUUGGUACAACUCUUUGAAACUCCAACAGCUUGUGUUUAUUAUUUUGAUGUGCACUUAUUCAUCUUGUGCUUCCAGCACUGAUCAUACUAGAAAAGUGCACACAAAUACUCCGAAGCAGAACUCUUGAAUUUGAAUUUCAUAGUUGAAUGGCACAUUUGCGACCAUGCAUUCAGUUAUCCGUGUGACUAUUGUAACACCCUUCUCUUGAUUGUAGAUGGAAAUGUGCCAAAGGCUACAAACGCUGAUGAAUGUUAAAUGACAGUAUUAUUAAUGUAUUGACUGUGCAUAAAUGUAUAACAAACAAGUUAGCAAGUGAGUUUGUAACAGGUGUCUUAUUCUUAGCACAGCACUCUUUUCAUGUAGUGAAAACUAAAUUCUGGUAAAGAAGAAUAUUUACAUACAUGUUACCUGUAACUGGUCACAAUGUUUAAACAAAUUGCUCAGGAACUUUCUAAACUUACACAGGUUUCUUUUUUUCAUAAUUAAAAGGUCAUAUGAUCACCUAACUCCACUGUUAUUUGAAUCAGUAGUUAAUGUCAGUACAACAAUCAGCACAUAUAUUGGUUUGUAAGAAUGCUUUGAUGCCUGUUUUAUUAACAUUACGAUUUGCUAAAUGUUUGUAAAGAUGACCUUCCUUUAAAGAUGUUGUUUUAUUUAUAUCAGUUACAAAAUUGAUAUAAUUUUAUAUCAUUCUUGGUAGAUAAAACCUUUACCAAUACAAUAACCAUACAAAGUGAAGGUAACAAUUCAUUUCCUGUUUAACAAAAUUAAUUAUUUAAGCUUCACUGCAAAACACAAUUUUACAGUCAGUUGUCUUUGCUCCCACAAAUACAGUGUUCUAGUACAACAAAGGAUUUAAGAAUGUCCCCAUUGUAUAUACGUCAGAUGCUGCUGAAAAGUAACUAUCCAGCAGCCUUCAGAAGUUAUUAUUCUACUACAUUUAAUAUCCAGAGACUGCUACAUUACUCUUUGACUGAAAAAAAAUUUUUUUUCCUUCUGCUUCGUUAUUCACUGUAGCAGUAAACAUAUAUAUUUUCAUAUCUAUCAACUCAUUCAUCACAUAUUGCUAUGACAUGAUUUUAACUUCCUUUGAUCAGGUAAUGCACUGCUGCCUGUGCCUUGUAAGUUAAACACCAUUAAGAGUAUCUGAACACCAAUGUCUGAAAGCAAUAACUUUUUUAAUGUGAGUGCAUCAGUUAUUACAGCAUUUUCACUUGGAAAUGCAUUUGUAAAAAUUUUGUAGGUAUUGCCUUUAGAUGACACAAGUGCCCUUCAAUAUUCAGAGACCACCAAAAAACAUUACUUUAAUACACUAACUUCUCACAUUUUUAACUACACUUGUUCUUACAGAGCUACAGGAAGUUUGCAUUUCAAACCUCUUGUUGUCUUUCAUUAAUAAAAAGCAAAGAAAACUGGAUCUGCUAAUAUAUUUUGAAUUGCAGUAGUGCAUUGUGCUCCAACUUCCACAUGAUAACACACAUAUACAUUAACAUCAAUUUUAAAACUGCUCUCCAUAUAAAUUAUAAUCAGUGUGGCAAAUACUGCUCAUAUCAUUUUCAGUGGAUUUUUAUAUGCACAGCUGUUCUAACAAAUGUCAUGGAUAAUUUAACAAUGACAAGCCUUAAUAUCUUUAUGCAGUCAGUUUACUGUUACAAGAAUACAGUCCUUCACGAUUUAAGUGCCAUUCUUAUUCCUCUAAUCACAUUGUUACAUUUAUAUCUCAGGACAUAUAGUGAUAAUAACUAGUGACAAUUGAACAAAAAUACUCACACCUGGAUGUUAUAGGAUGCCUCUGUUUACUCCAUUCAUUAUAGAAGAAUUUUUCCAUAUACAUAUUUUAAACAGAAAAAUCACUCUAAUGGUAAAUCUUAAACAGGACCAUUAAGCAUCACUUUCUUUUACUGGUAUCAGUUUAGUUCAUUAUUCUGCUACACAGAUACCUCGCAUUAUAUCAUGCAGUAUUUUCCAACAAAUGUGUUUGUUAAAAAAUACAGUGGUAACCAUUUUCCUUAGAGAUUAUAUAUAUUAAAGAAAAGGAUGCUGGAUUCUUCUUGUCAUCCAUAAACUUUUCAUUUAAAUUUUAUUUUUAUUAUAAUGAGCCCCAUUCACAUCUACUGAGAUACUUCCUUAAUACACAUAUAAGCCAUUGUCCAUAUAGCAUAGCCUAGGACCUACUACUUUGCAACUGAAUGUAUGUGCAGUAUUUGUGUGCACUUUUCUCCAGCACUGUCACACAUAUCAAUUAAUGAUGUCUGCAACAAUGCAUUUGAACCAGUGAAUUAUUGGACAGACACUAUUCAUUUGUGUAACUGCACUACAGUUAAACACGUUUUUCAGCAUGAAAAUUGGUAAUAAAAUAUACCAAAAUUCUGUGAUCUGUAGCCAGAACUGUGGAGAGCUACAAGGAUAAUUUUUUAUCCAUGUAGAAACAAUGCCUUCAUACAGAACUGUGAAAAAAAAGUGUAAACUAGAGAUGUCUUGAUAAACUGUGAUGUUUAUGUGUUUAGUAGGUUAUUCUAGUUGUAUAGUUUGUAAUAUAAGCUAGAACAGUGUUUGAUAAAGUGUGAACUGACUCUGAACAAUUUUACAACUAGGACAUUAAUCACAGCUUAUGUGAUGUAGAAGAACUGUCGUUUUGUACCAUAACCCCAAGGUAUAUGAGUAAAAGUAGUGACAAUUGUACAUAUUAGAGUCUGAUCACAUGUGAAGAGGCUUUCGUAAGUGUUAGUUUGCAUCUAUGCACAGUGUGUGUGUGUGUGUGUGUGUGUGUGUGUGUGUAUGUGUGUGUGUGUGUGUGUGUGUGUGUGUGAAGGGUAUUUGAAUGAGCCCAAGAGCAAAUUACACAUCAAGGGUACUAGCUCUUGCAAGUGAGUAUGUAGAGUCAUGAGCACAUGAAUGACUCAUAAAUGGUUUUACUCUUGAAGUAGAUAUGGUUACACUGAGAUAAGGAAUACCAUAAACAGCUGAUUUUUCAGUACAGUAAAACUACAAUAAUCCAAAAUAACUGGGACCAAAGCCUCACCAGAUGGCACAGUUUCCAUCUCAUUAUUGUUUUGAGUUGGAAGUAUUAGUGUAUCUUUCAGUACCAUAUCUGUCAAGAAAGUACCAAUAUUUAUAAUAAAUAAUAUGUUAUUUCUUACUUUGUGCUCAUAAUUCAAUUAAAAUUAGUAAUUACAUUUUGCCAUGGAUUUAGAUACUUUCUUUCAUUCGGACGAGACAUCUCAAAUUUUGGAUUAGUGAUGUAAUACUGUAUUUACACGAAAACUAUUUUCUUGUUUUGCUUAAGUGUAUGAAACAUAUUUUAUCAGUACUCACUGCCACAGUAUUAGUUUUACAGAGAAAUGUCUUAUAUAUUUUUCCUGACAAGAUUUCAGGGAUAUUGCUUUGUUUCUACCUGGCUAUGUUACACUGCCAGCUUCCUGAUGAAGAUGUCACCACAGGUGUGUGAACAAUUGGGAAGUGUUGAAUUUUCUGCUUUAAUACAUAGAUUGUAGAAUACCGCAUGUACAGAUCUUAUAACUGCGAACAAUAAGUGUUCCUCAUUGUUUAAUACACCACAACAUUUGACAUGUAUGGUGUAUUAAAAUAUUAGCUGAGAAGUAAAACUGGAUUCCUGUUUGAUGCAUGUGAUGCAAAGCAGGACAGCACAUUUGCCCUUAAAUAUUUCAAUUUGUCUUAUUUGUAAAUUUUAUACUAGCUGAAUAAUGAACUCAGAUGAAAAUAAGUAUUGUGUUAUUCAUCAUUUUGGCACAGUUAUUACUUUUCAGUUUAAUUGCAGCACCAUUGUAUUACACUGUUACAUUAUUUAAAAUAACUACUUAUUUGGUUACAUGUGGCAGCACAGUCAACUGGUCUGAAUACAUAUUCUGAAUAUAUAGAUAAAAAGUGACAGCCACAUUACCUAAAUACAGACCAAAAUUUCACACCUGGUUUUAUAGAAAAGAAGUCACUUCUUAUGAUUAUUUUCUUGUCAUAGAUGAAUAAUAUACAGAGCUUCCAGGUGAGGUUAUUGCAUGUUUUCCUAAUAGAAUAUGCAACUGGUAGGAAGUAGAAAAUUAUUAAUCAAAAUUCUGACCUUAAAAGAAAGGCUGAAAUAAGACAGUCGUGUAAUCCUAAUUAGUGUUGCUUCACUCAUGUCUCUUUCUGAAGCUGCAUUUUCUUAGUUUGUGGUGUUCAGAUAUUUGUAUUAAUAGUCAGUGUUUGUUGUAGGAGUAUAUUCUGUAAGCUCCAGAUGCAAAGGCUGUGAAGUCAAUUUUAAAAUUAAAAUGUGUUCAUGAACUUCACGUAUCUGCAUUAUUUCUUUAGACAACAAUAAAUAUAGUUGCUUGUUAUGCUGUUUUCUAUGUUUUGAAAAAAGAGGUAUUAGCACUACAAAAAGAGCAAACAAAUAAAAAGUUUGACCUGCCAGAAUACUAUAAUGAGACAAAUUUUUAGUGUAAAUUUCCACUUGUAGUUUACAGAUGUCUCAUUUCUCCAAACAACAAAUAUAUCUAAAUACUCAGAAAUUAAUAGUAAAUUUGUAUUCUAAGUUUACCAGGGUACUACUUUUAAUAAGAGAAUUGAACAAUCAUAAGAAGUAGUCAUUAUAACAGCUGUAUUACUCCACAGUAUGUAGGCUACAGCCAUUGCCUUUUCAUAAUAUUAUACAUUCCCUACUAGUGGCCUAAGAAAUUGCAAUCAGCAUUAUUCUAUUUAGAAGAUGCUCCCACUGCCAAGAUGCCUAAUCCUUAACUAGGAUGUUGAAAGCAAUUAAAAACUAGCUGAAAAUAUAGGAAUUAAUUUUGAAGAAGUAUUUUGUAUCAAUAAUGUGACUGUGUUUAUAGAUGUACUCAGUCAAUUGUGUACUUCAGUGAUAUGUUCUAUAAUACCAAUUUGCCUUUAAAUAUAUUGUUGUAAAAUACUCUUUCAGUCAACAAUAAUGUUUGUAGUGUAAAAUAUAAUUGAGCUUCUGCUGAUUUCCAAAUUCAAUAUAAUUUUUUCAGAAGAUUAUUUCAAGCUAAAAUAAGGCAAUUGAUUUAUGUUUAACUAUUUUGUACAUUAUUGUAAAACAAAGUUAGUUUGACUGGGUGAUAAGUGGUUUUUCAGAUUGUUUUUGAUAAAACACUGCCCCAUAUCCAGUCAUUAGGCUCAUGAAAUGAGUGAUAGAUGAUACAAAUCACGUAUACACCCAACAUGUUUGAGUAACUUUCAUAAUGUUCCUAAUACAGUGAUACACUGCCACUUAUUUUGGUUAUGUCAGUAGCAUGCUAGUUAUUAUUUCUUCCAUUUAUCUGUGUUACUUCUACAAUUAAUUUGUCUUAGAAAUAUAGCUGUCAGCAUUUUACACGAUUUAAAGGAAUAAAUCAGUACAAGUGCAAAAGUUAAGAAUUUUUAACUAGUUUACUGUUUAUAUAUAAAUAUAGUCAUGACUUUUUCUGAGCCUUUUAAAUGGCUACUAGAUAAGCUACAUUUUUCUUGCCAAAUAUUUGUAGAAAGAAUUUGC
Long non-coding RNA from Schistocerca serialis cubense, 5960 nucleotides. RefSeq lists it as uncharacterized. The record is from RefSeq and is a predicted model, not a curated record. NCBI's taxonomy places the organism in Eukaryota, Metazoa, Arthropoda, Insecta, Orthoptera, Acrididae. The transcript is spliced from 3 exons.